RNAcentral lists this long non-coding RNA (1581 nucleotides) under Ornithorhynchus anatinus (platypus). RNAcentral's name for it is "lncRNA (ENSOANG00000046544.1)". The stretch from base 1 to 56 matches the Rfam family "mir-129 microRNA precursor family", at positions 20 to 75 of the family's 75-position model. The record is from RNAcentral. Lineage: Eukaryota; Metazoa; Chordata; Mammalia; Monotremata; Ornithorhynchidae.
GGGCUUGCUGUUCCUCUAAUCAGUAGUCAGGAAGCCCUUACCCCAAAAAGUAUCUGCGAGAGACCUGGUCGGCAGAUGUGGUCCCCUAGGGCCAAGGCAACGGUCAAAUUCAACAAGGGAAAAGGGAAGAGAUAGAGGAAUGGAGAAAGGCUGGUCCCUCUCUCCUUCCAAUCCAGGCCACUGUUGGCUUUGUGUCUCUACCCCACCAAAUGGCAUAGGACUGUUGGCAGCACCUGGGGUUCACAUCAACAGCAUUCUCCUUCACCUUUGGAAGAUUUUGCAGGGCCAAGUAAACAGAGGAGUACCACAAUGAUAAUCUGCUUAUGUCGUGCUGCCUCCAGAAACCAGCUGGGCCUGUUCAGCUCUCACCUUUCUACCAUUGCCAAAGUGGGCCCAGCUACUUGAACCCACCAAAGGACAGAUUUGAGAACUUAAAGAGAAUGAAAAAGCACCAGGGAAGAACAAAGGUCUUCAAGAGAGUUCAAGCUGAGUUGGUGAGCCUCUCCUUCUGGAAGACCACAGCAACCCAGAAUGGUCAAUUUCAUUUAGGCGUCCACUUGGAUAAGUAGGAAGACUCAGGGAACAAGCUUUAAUUGGGUUCCGGGAAUGGAAUUCAUAGUAGGAAGAGAAUUUAGAUGAGGCAAAAUUAUGUAGUUCUGUGUUUAAGCAUUUUUGUUCAUUUUAAGUAUACCUGGAGGAAAAAUUGAUAUUUCUGAGUAUAUGAAUGUUUUCCUGUGUGCACUGGAGCUUUAUAAAAGCCCUUUAUUUACUGUCUUGUGAACAAGACCUGUUUUAUAACAAAAUUGUCUAGGGCUCUAGAACAGAAUUAAGGUCCUUGCCAAAUCUUGAGGUAUUUUUACUAGUCAUAAUGCUGCUAGCAUUGUAAAACCUGCACUAUGCAUGAAGGGCUUGGACCUUCUUGAAAAAAAAAGAAAAGAUGAAAGGAGAAGUGGUGAUAGAUAAGGAAGGUCAUUAUGAUUGCAGUAUUUGAGACUGACUAUAGUGGGUAAAGGGUGGACAUAAAGAGGGGAAGAUUGGUGCAAUGUUCAAGUUGAAGGGAUGAACAGAGUACAGAAGAAGGGUUUGGCACUAAAAGGUGGAGAGGGGGUGGCGAGGGAGAGAGAGAGAAAGAAUCAGAAACAUGGGCUUGGAACUCUUUUCUCAACUCCAUCCCCUCCUGAUGAGCGCUGUAUAUGAUUCCUUCCACUUCACACACAUACUUUUGUUCAAGCUUUCUCAAAUGAAGAACAGGUUUCAGUCCCCCUCCCAUUAAAGGAGUCUUCCCAUCUUCCAAGUCAUAGCCUGAAGUCCAUCUCCUCUACAGUCUUCUUUCUAAUCUCCCCCACCCUUGCACACACACACACACACACACACACACACUUCAUUCACGUAUAGGCUCAAAUUCAGCUAUGGUUGAUUAUAUGUUCAUCUGUUUCCAUUGUAAAAUCCUCAGGACUGUCUGGAAUCCAGGGGACUCAAUGGCUUGUUCCCCAAGGACAAAUACAUUCAUAUAAGUCUGUUAAAUAAAUAAAAGGAUUUGAAAAGUAUGUGCACAAGGCUUGUAUGUAAUUUGCAAUUGAC